GACUCCAUGAAGCUGGAUUCGCUAGUAAUCGCGCAUCAGCCACGGCGCGGUGAAUACGUUCCCGGGCCUUGUACACACCGCCCGUCAAGCCAUGGAAGCCGGGGGUGCCUGAAGUGCGCUGCCGCAAGGAGCGCCCUAGGGUAAAACCGGUGACUGGGGCUAAGUCGUAACAAGGUAAC
Molecule: ribosomal RNA, 179 nt
Filed under: uncultured bacterium
Lineage: Bacteria
Description: partial 16S ribosomal RNA
Rfam family: Bacterial small subunit ribosomal RNA
Source: RNAcentral